UCUUUCUAGAUACACUUUCCAGUACAUCUACUAUGUUACAACUUAUCUUAUUUUAAAAAUAAGAACGAUGGGCGAUAUGUACAUGUUUUAGAGCUAAAAUCAUAUAAAUAAUCUAUUUUAUAUUACUAUUAAAUCCACCUUCAAAUUUUUGUUUCAAAAAAUUAUUCAUUUAAAUAAAUUUAUUGUAAUCCAUCUCUACUUAAAUAUAAACUGCACCUUGAUCUGACAUUUUAUUUAAUAAAAUAUUAAGAAAAUUAAAUCUUAUAACAUAUUCUGAUGACGACGAUAUACAAAUUAAACAAAUUUAAGUAAGGUUCAAUGUGAAUUAUCAAUUACAGGACAGAUUCCUCUAAAUAGACUAAAACACCGCCAAAUUUUUUAAAUUUUAAGAAUAUAACUAAUACUACUUUAGCAUUUUAAUAUUUAUUUUUAAUAAUAGGGUAUCUAAUCCUAGUUUAUUACAAAAAGUUUAUAGCUUAAAUUAUUUUUUUAAAUAAUAAAUUAAUAAAUUUAAAAAUUUCACCUAAUAAAUUUAUAUUUAUAUUAUAAAAA
Molecule: ribosomal RNA, 552 nt
Filed under: Aedes aegypti (yellow fever mosquito)
Lineage: Eukaryota; Metazoa; Arthropoda; Insecta; Diptera; Culicidae
Description: 12S ribosomal RNA
Source: RNAcentral